Molecule: non-coding RNA, 2005 nt
Organism: Sus scrofa (pig)
Lineage: Eukaryota; Metazoa; Chordata; Mammalia; Artiodactyla; Suidae
Source: RefSeq, a predicted model, not a curated record
GGAGAACCGCGGCUUUAGUAAAGAAGGGGCGGGGAAAACGGGGCCGAAAGCGGCCGGCGGUGGGGAGUGGCGUUUGCCCGGGCCGCACACUUCCCCUCGAAUUCGGUGCUUCCCCAAGCCUCUCGCGGUAACGAAGACGAAGCACGCCCAUUUUACAGAUGAGGAAACCCACGCUCCGCGAAAUCAUCACUCUGCCCUUUAGCGACCAAACCAUCAUUUGCACCUCAAGGCUCUCUCAUCUGCAUCCUCCCUAAGCCCGCCCCCCGCAAGCGCCCCCUUUCUCGAGCCUCGGUUUCCUCCCUUGUAAAAUGAGGGGCUGGACUUUGAAUUCUAAGGACCUCUGGCCUUUAACACUUGACCGGGGCGCGGGGCGGUCAGAGAACGGAGAGCUGUUUUGAAGCUUCCUGGGUGCAACUCUCUGAGGGAACUGCCCUGGACCCGGGAAGAGCCCAGCUCUAGAGACAGACAGGACUGGUUUCAGAAGCCCUGUCAACUUCUCAUCCUGGUUCCUGGUCUUUCUCCGGUACCAGAGUUACUACGAGUACCCGCUGCUGACUUACCUGGAGUACCCCAUCCUCUUGACACAAGAUCUCGUCCUCCUGCUGUGCAUCUUCCACUUCAGCGGGCAUGUGGAGCGGGCUGCGUUCUACAUCGCCCUCUUUGUGUCUGCUUGGUUCGUCCUCAGCCUGCGGAAGUGGAUCAUGGAUCUGGCCAUGAACUUCUGUACAUUCAUCAGCGCAGCCAGUAAGUUUGCGCAGCUCCAGUACCUAUGGAAGACCAGGGACUCGGGAGCCGUGAGUGCCCUGACGUGGAGCCUCGCUUCGUACAGCUGCGCAGUAAGAAUAAUAACGACGCUAAUGACCACCAAUGAUCUUACAAUUCUUACGCGUUUUGUGGUCACGCUGGCUUUAAAUAUAUGGGUAACAGCUACAAUCCUUCGCUACCGGAAGACUGCUGUCAAGGCUGAGUGAUGGACACGGAAUAGUCCUACAGAGUGGAUUUUGAGUAACUGAACCAAAGGCAAAAAGCUCAUUGCUAAACCAGGUCUUUUAUAAAUUCAGCCAGCCGUGCCAAAGGUAUUUUAGACUUGAAAGAGCCCACUUACACCCUUGUCUAAACAUGCCAAUUUUUAACCCCCCCCCCCCCACCACCUCAGUAGGUUAAAGUAGGCUCAGAGUAUCUGCAGUUUUGAGAAGGCUGGUGGUAGCUGGUCUUGCAGGAGCCCCAUUUCGAGGCGACAGCUUUGACCCUUAUCACUCAAGUCACAGUUCUCUCCAAAAAACUACAUACAUCUACUUUGCAGCAUUCGGAAUCUUGUAGGAAAUAAACCCCCUCCACAACCCAAAUGAGCAUGAAUAGGAGUUUGCUCAGUGUGGGACUGUGAUAAGUGACCAGGGUUUGCUUCCCGGGACUAAUGUUUAACUGCCCUAUAGAUGUAACAGGACGGCCUUGUUGGAUGUUACUGCAUGAUAGCUCCUUAAGCUAUAGCAAGGACGUCAAGACCAGCAAAAAUGUAACUGGCUUGAGUUCAUGUACCAAAGCACGUCUUCAACUUCACACUGUGCCUUUAAAUGAUGCCUAACAAAAGGUGCCUGCAGUCUCUGCUUGUGAUGAGGUGACCCCACUAUACUGACGCCAGCACCAGGUUUAUGCUGCCGUUUUUAAAAGGACCACACCUACACAGUUACUGUUAUUAGAAUUUGGCACAAAAUACAGCUGGCCUCCACCAGGCUUUGCCUAUUGAAAAUAUAUGCAGUAAAGGGUAUUGCUGAGUUCUGACAAGUUCGUAUGGAUUUUAUUCUCAUUAUAGUAUCACAGUCUAAACAUGAUAAAAUUAUUGUAAGAUUUCUUACAUUUUUCCUGUAAAAAAGCUUAUAAACCCUAACACUGAAAACUCUGGUUCCCCUAAUAAUUGAAUGGCAUUAUUUUAUUAUAUGCAGUAAGUGGUUUAUUAGAAAAUAUUUUAGUUUCUUGUGUACAAUAAACUAUCAUAUUUUGAACUCUG